RNAcentral lists this long non-coding RNA (444 nucleotides) under Amborella trichopoda. Its description in RNAcentral is "long non-coding RNA (ATRI_LNC004211)". Lineage: Eukaryota; Viridiplantae; Streptophyta; Magnoliopsida; Amborellales; Amborellaceae. The record is from RNAcentral.
CAUUGUUCAUGCAAUUUUUGCUACUCCCUCUGAAUGAAAAAUAAAUGCGACAUUGUUCAUACAAUUUGAGAGCCAUUUACUACAGGUUGGGCUUCCUCUUCUUUAGAAGGACAUUGUUCAUACAAUUUUUGCUACUCCCUCUUGACUGAAAAAUAAAUGUGACAUUGUUCAUACAAUUUCAGAGCCAUUUACUACAGGUUGGGUUUCCUCUUCUUUAGAAGGACAGUGUUCAUACAAUUUUUGCUACUCCCUCUGAAUGAAAAAUAUAUGUGCCAUUGUUCAUACAAUUUCAGAGCCAUUUACAACAGGUUGGGCUUCCUCUUCUUUAGAAGGACAUUGUUCAUACAAUUUUUGCUACUCCCUCUGAAUGAAAAAUAAAUGUGACAUUGUUCAUACAAUUUCAGAGCUAUUUACUACAGGUUGGGCUUCCUCUUCUUUAGAAGG